UACGUAGGGUGCAAGCGUUAAUCGGAAUUACUGGGCGUAAAGCGUGCGUAGGCGGCUAUGUAAGACAGAUGUGAAAUCCCUGGGCUAAACCUAGGAACUGCAUUUGUGACUGCAUUGCUAGAGUGUGGUAGAGGGAGAUGGAAUUCCGCAUGUAGCAGUGAAAUGCGUAGAUAUGCGGAGGAACACCGAUGGCGAAGGCAAUCCCCUGGGCCUGCACUGACGCUCAUGCACGAAAGCGUGGGGAGCAAACAGG
RNAcentral lists this ribosomal RNA (253 nucleotides) under uncultured bacterium. RNAcentral's name for it is "partial 16S ribosomal RNA". It matches the Rfam family "Bacterial small subunit ribosomal RNA", at positions 524 to 776 of the family's 1533-position model. The record is from RNAcentral.